Pantoea ananatis LMG 20103 is the source of this 125-nucleotide regulatory RNA element. It matches the Rfam family "RtT RNA". From Rfam's summary of the family: This family represents a bacterial cis-regulatory element known as RtT RNA. The exact function of RtT is unknown although it is thought that it may be involved in changing the cellular response in relation to amino acid starvation. The record is from Rfam. Lineage: Bacteria; Pseudomonadati; Pseudomonadota; Gammaproteobacteria; Enterobacterales; Erwiniaceae.
ACAUAUUCUGCGCUGAGGGGGAUGAGAAGCCCCGACCGGGGUUCGACAAAACGGCCCGCCGUUUUGCAUGGCCGUCAGGCCACCCGCAGGGCGAGCGCAGCGAGUGAAUCCCCCUUUCACCGCCA